RNAcentral lists this long non-coding RNA (630 nucleotides) under Zonotrichia albicollis (white-throated sparrow). RNAcentral describes it as "lncRNA (ENSZALG00000002154.1)". The record is from RNAcentral. Lineage: Eukaryota; Metazoa; Chordata; Aves; Passeriformes; Passerellidae.
AUCCCCUUGGGGACAUCCCGGUGGGGACAUCCAUGGGGUUACCCCAGUGGGGACAUCCCGGUGGGGACAGGGCCAUCCCCUUGGGGACAUCCCGGUGGGGACAUCCAUGUGGUUACCCCAGUGGGGACAUCCCGGUGGGGACAGGGCCAGCCCUUGGGGACAUCCAUGGGGUCACCCCAUUGGGGACAUCCCAUUGGUGCCAUCACCUUGGGGACAUCUUGGGGACAUCCCCACUGAGGUCACCCCAUUGGGGUCACCCCCAGGGCCACCCCCUUGGGGACAUCCCAUUGGGGACAUCCCCCAUUAGGGUCAUUAGGGUCACCCCUUUGGGGACAUCCCAUUGGGGACAUCCCCCAUUAGGGCCACCCCCUUGGGGACAUCCCAUUGGGGACAUCCCCCAUUAGGGUCACCUCAUUUGGGGACAUCCCCCAUUAGGGUCACCCCUUUGGGGACAUCGCCUUGGGGACACCCUCAGGGCCACCCCUUGGGGACGUCCCCCAUUAGGGUGACCCCACUGGGGACAUCCUCAGGGCCACCCGUUGAGGACAUUCCAUUGGGGACAUCGCCUUGGGGACACCCUCAGGGUCACCACGAUCAGGGCCACCCCUUGGGGACAUCCCAGUGGUGACA